UACGGGGGGAGCAAGCGUUGUUCGGAUUUACUGGGCGUAAAGGGCGCGUAGGCGGCACCGCAAGUCGACUGUGAAAUCUCCGGGCUUAACCCGGAAAGGUCAGCCGAUACUGCGGGGCUAGAGUGCAGAAGGGGCAACUGGAAUUCUCGGUGUAGCGGUGAAAUGCGUAGAUAUCGAGAGGAACACCUGCGGCGAAGGCGGGUUGCGGGGCUGACACUGACGCUGAUGCGCGAAAGCUAGGGUAGCAAACGGG
RNAcentral lists this ribosomal RNA (253 nucleotides) under uncultured bacterium. Its description in RNAcentral is "partial 16S ribosomal RNA". It matches the Rfam family "Bacterial small subunit ribosomal RNA", at positions 524 to 776 of the family's 1533-position model. The record is from RNAcentral.